This 876-nucleotide long non-coding RNA is filed under the name Nicotiana benthamiana. Its description in RNAcentral is "long non-coding RNA (NBEN_LNC023163)". Lineage: Eukaryota; Viridiplantae; Streptophyta; Magnoliopsida; Solanales; Solanaceae. The record is from RNAcentral.
GUAUAAUGACUUUCCUGUCGGAGGAUUGCGCUGUUGAGCCACGUCGCCGGCUGCUGGUGGUCCAGCGGCUUAACGUCCGGCGAGGACUGAGCUAGCUGUUCAGGUAAUAUACUCCUUAAAACUGCUGAAUUUUCAUCAGAAAAAUGGUGCAUAUCCAUUUCUUGUGACAUAUGAUUCGGAUUAUAUGCCAUUAUCAACUUUUAUCGAAACCCAACCUCUACUCACACCAUUUCACAAAUCACAAUGAUGUUUACAUCUGUGUAUAUAAACAACUAAACCAACUCUACUAGCAAAUUGUUCACUGUAUGGUUUAAGAAAUUGAUCUAACUAAUCCUAUUCCACAUAUAUAUGAUUGAAAAUUGAGGUCUUGUACAGGUCUGCAGUUUUAGAAAGUGCAACGACUAAAUAGGUUACAGGUACCACUAUUUAUUUCGAGAAGAAAAUAAACAGAAUACGAAUUGGACUACACGUUAAGUAGAAUAAUCAGAAACCUAUGUACAGGGAUUCAGGAAAAACAAUAUACUGUACUGAUUAUCAGGAUCAUAUAAAGGCUGAAGAAGAAAGCAAGUAUUUAUAAUGUGUAAAUGGAGUUUUUUGAGCAAUGGCCAGAAGAAAGAGGGAAAGAGAAAGAGAGAGAGAAAUAUGGAGAUAAAAAAGGAAGCUUCGGCGUGAAUAUAUGUCUGUGGUUAUGUGUAUUAUGUAUUGUUAUAUACCUGCACAGAUGCGGGGACCAGAACAGAUGAAUGUACUGUGAACAGGAAGAAGGUGGGGUUCACCGGUAAAUAUGUCGGAGGUUGAAUUCCGGUGAACGGAAAAAAUGUCGGAAAAUUGGUGAUGGGAAUUCAGUAGUGGUACCUAAAUCUUGGGAAAGAGGUU